UUUCCUUUUCAGUAGCUGCAUUGUUGGAUUCCGUGGCAUUGUUGGAGAAGGUCAUCAAGAGGACACAUGAUCCACCAGUUGACUCAGGAGCUACACUUGGGCAUUCGGAGACUCCCCGCCCCCUCCCAUGUUCUUGGAAUGUGCAUUCUACCCACUGUUCCUCAUCUUUUGGUCACCCAAGAUAAGCCUUAUGAAGAGACAGAAGGAUUAAGGAUCUCAUUAAAGUUUUUGGAACUAAUAAGUGGCCAGCUGAAAUUUGAACCCAGGGAAUUUCACAAAACAAGCCUGACUUUCUUAACUGCUAGGCUGUACUAUACGAUUCUUAAUUUACCAUUACACUCUCUCCCUGUGUGAAGGACUGUGGACCAUGAACAAUUUGCCAUCUGAAUGGAUGUGAGGUGGAGGAAUGAUGACUCUUAAUGACCUUACUCAUAUAGAAGGUAUAAUAAAGGGGCAGAGACUGGAUAUUUGGGGAUGACCUUGGGAGGAGGAUGUUGAUGGAGAGCUGCUGAUAUGACCCCCACAGGGAGGACAAGUCAAAUAAAGCCUACGGAGAAGUAUAAGUUGUGUUUCCUCUGUUUUCUCAAGUCAAAGAAGAAUUCCCCCCACUCAGGUGUAAGGAGACCACUCGCAGAUCUAAUACGCACACCUGCAAUCUGGACUGGGGUGGUGUUGAUACCAUCUCAUGAUGGUAACAGUCAGGUUGGAACUUUCCUGCUCCUUUGCCUCCUCUCCUCCUCCUCACUGUAGCUCUGGAGGGGUUGGGAACUGCCAUAAGCAAGUUGUAGGUGGGAAUGGAAGCCUAGACUAGAAGAAGAAGAAGCAGUUGACCACAUCCCAUUAUCUGCUCGCUUUCCAUCUGCAAAUACACAUAAAGGAG
Molecule: long non-coding RNA, 880 nt
Filed under: Mustela putorius furo (domestic ferret)
Lineage: Eukaryota; Metazoa; Chordata; Mammalia; Carnivora; Mustelidae
Description: lncRNA (ENSMPUG00000031621.1)
Source: RNAcentral